CCCGUCUCCUCCCGUGUGGCCGCCCCGCCUCCCCGGCGCUGAGGUCAGCGCCGGCUAACGUCAGUGCUGGGAACCAGCGCGGGGUUCGGGUACGCGGGAGGGGCGGGAGCGGCGGGUACAGGAGGCCGAGGUGGGCCUGCGCGGACGUGGUCUCCCGCCCCUCGCGGCGGGGGCUGAGUGCCGCUGCCUCCAAGAAGCUUUCGCUGAUGCCGCCUCCCCCUAGCGGCCUCCUCUGACCUCCCACGGCAGUUUCCAGCCACAGCCGGGCAGAGCCACUCACCCCCAAGCUUUGGAGCCAUGUUUCCGCUUUGCUGGUUUUUUUUCUUUUUCAAAACGAGACGGAAUGGGUUCCUCUUGAACCUUCAGGAGUGGGGAACGCAGUUUACUCCCACGGCACUACCACGGCCCUCAGCGGGUCCUUGCUCUCCAAGCAGUUCCUUUCUGUUGCCUGAAAACAUCCAGCUUUCUUCUCGGUGCCACGGGAAACUGAGCUGACCUUGGAAAAAAGAGAACUCAGAGGUUCAUGAAACCAGAGGACAGAUGUCAGCAAGCCCAGAAUUGACCAGAGCUGACCACCAAGGAAGCCAGUGAACAAGGUCACGGCACCGAAAAGCUCCUCAGGGACACUCAGCACCCACAUCUGAGCAUCUUUGACAGUGGGCCUAGUGUUCUGGGCCUCACGCCCUGACACCAGCAUUGAUGAAAAAAACACUUUUCAGAUAAACCAUCACUUGUUUUAUUGCAGGAAAUAAAACUCUUGUCCUUACGUG
RNAcentral lists this long non-coding RNA (770 nucleotides) under Heterocephalus glaber (naked mole-rat). RNAcentral describes it as "lncRNA (ENSHGLG00100039529.1)". The record is from RNAcentral. Lineage: Eukaryota; Metazoa; Chordata; Mammalia; Rodentia; Bathyergidae.